This 548-nucleotide ribosomal RNA is filed under the name Scheffersomyces shehatae. Its description in RNAcentral is "eukaryotic LSU rRNA". It matches the Rfam family "Eukaryotic large subunit ribosomal RNA", at positions 10 to 565 of the family's 3401-position model. Lineage: Eukaryota; Fungi; Ascomycota; Pichiomycetes; Serinales; Debaryomycetaceae. The record is from RNAcentral.
AUCAGGUAGGAUUACCCGCUGAACUUAAGCAUAUCAAUAAGCGGAGGAAAAGAAACCAACAGGGAUUGUCUUAGUAACGGCGAGUGAAGCGACAAAAGCUCAAAUUUGAAAUCUGGCACCUUCGGUGUCCGAGUUGUAAUUUGAAGAAGGUAACUUUGGAGUUGGCUCUUGUCUAUGUUCCUUGGAACAGGACGUCACAGAGGGUGAGAAUCCCGUGCGAUGAGAUGUCCAACUCUAUGUAAAGUGCUUUCGAAGAGUCGAGUUGUUUGGGAAUGCAGCUCUAAGUGGGUGGUAAAUUCCAUCUAAAGCUAAAUAUUGGCGAGAGACCGAUAGCGAACAAGUACAGUGAUGGAAAGAUGAAAAGAACUUUGAAAAGAGAGUGAAAAAGUACGUGAAAUUGUUGAAAGGGAAGGGUUUGAGAUCAGACUUGGUAUUUUGUAUGUCUUGCUUUCGGGUGGGGCCUCUGCAGUUUACUGGGCCAGCAUCGGUUUGGACGGUAGGAUAAUGACAUUGGAAUGUGGCACUACUUCGGUGGUGUGUUAUAGACU